This is a long non-coding RNA of Spea bombifrons (plains spadefoot toad), 253 nucleotides long. RefSeq lists it as uncharacterized. The transcript is spliced from 4 exons. The record is from RefSeq and is a predicted model, not a curated record. NCBI's taxonomy places the organism in Eukaryota, Metazoa, Chordata, Amphibia, Anura, Pelobatidae.
ACUUGAAUUCUAAUGUGGUGUUUUGUCUUGGUUUUUGUAGGUGUCUACAUGUGGUGAAACUCUCUUCAAGGUUUAUGUGAAGAGGCCACUUGGUGACCAAACAACCUCUAAGUGAAGCAAUCUGGUGGAUGUCUGUCUCUAAGGGGUGUAUACAAAGGAAGAUUCUUCAAAGACUUGAAUGUUUCCCUGGCCUAAUGUUUCUUUUGAUCGAAUUGUAAAUAUCAAGUAAUAAAAGGUUGAACUUUAAUGUGAA